CCUACGGGUGGCAGCAGUAGGGAAUCUUCCACAAUGGGCGAAAGCCUGAUGGAGCAACGCCGCGUGGGUGAAGAAGGUCUUCGGAUCGUAAAACCCUGUUGUUAGAGAAGCAAGUGCGUGAGAGUAACUGUUCACGUUUCGAUGGUAUCUAACCAGAACGCCACGGCUAACUACGUGCCAGCAGCCGCGGUAAAACGUAGGUGGCAAGCGUUAUCCGGAUUUAUUGGGCGUAAAGGGAACGCAGGCGGUCUUUUAAGUCUGAUGUGAAAGCCUUCGGCUUAACCUGAGUAGUGCAUUGGAAACUGGGAGACUAGAGUGCAGAAGAGGAUGGUGGAAUGCCAGGUGUAGCGGUGGAAUGCGUAGAUAUAUGGAAGAACACCAGUGGCGAAAGCGGCUCUCUGGUCUGUAACUGACGCUGAGGUUCGAAAGCGUGGGUAGCAAACAGGAUUAGAUACCCGUGUAGUC
This 465-nucleotide ribosomal RNA is filed under the name uncultured bacterium. Its description in RNAcentral is "partial 16S ribosomal RNA". It matches the Rfam family "Bacterial small subunit ribosomal RNA", at positions 338 to 795 of the family's 1533-position model. The record is from RNAcentral.